GGUUCAGUAGGUUUGGGCUGGGGCCUGAGAUUCUGCAGUUCUAACAAGCUUCCUGAUGACAUGAUGCAUCUGGCCCACGAACCAUGCUUUGAGUUGCAAGGUUGGGGGCUUUUCAAACACAGUGGCAUGUGGGAUUCGCCUGAAGAUCUCUUUAAAAAUAAUGACGCCUGGCCUCUUCCUUAGAAGAAAAUGCACACCAUGAUGGGGUCGUUUUGCUUCUAUGGAAGGCAUUGGUUCUACUUGCAGCUACCAAUGACCCCAUGCCUUUAAAAUGAGCACUUAUAAUAUGAUGUCUUGGCACCUGCAUCAGAUUGACUGGGACCUUUUAAGACCACGCUGAUGUGGCCAUCUACCAUAGUUCCUGGUUCAGUGUAUCUAGGGUCAGGACUGAGAAAUGGCCUUUCUAAAAAGUUCCUAUGAGGUGCCCUCAGAUAUUGGGCUGGGAACUAUGCCUCCCGCAUCCCUUGUUAACUACCACUUUAUUAUUUCAUGAGAUUCAUGGGAAGAGAGGUAUUAUGCCUUUAUAUUCUCCAUCUGCCACCAGUGCCUAGUAUGCAGAUGGCACAAACAAAUACCAUUUGAGUAAAAACUGAUGGCCAAAUCUUAUCUCAUUCAUAAUGAAAAUGCUUAUAGAAUAUUGGACAUUUCUUCUGGCCCAUUAAGGAUAAUGUUUUCCAAAGAGACUCCAAAAAUAACACUGACCUAGGGAUCUGUGCUACUGUGGAAUCUAGAGCGUCUGGGGACACUUUCUAUGAAAACUUCUCUUCCCCCAAGCCACUAAGGUACAGCCAUGCAAUCAGCAUGAUGUACAGGUUUGUUGACUGUUUAGGCUUCCAUUCAGGGGGUCUUGAAAUGGAGAAGCAACAGAAGUAUCUCCUCUAGGACCAUCUGCUUUCAAUUUUUCAGCUGAAUCUCCUGAAGACUCACCAGGUGCUAAUUUUGUAUAUGGUUCCAUUGGAAUUCUAUCAUUUUUCUCUAGAUUUUACUUCCCAAAGAAAAGGAAGGAUUCACUGAAGCAAAAAACCUCACUGGCAUAGAGAAGAUCAAGAGUGAUCCCCAGCUGAACAAAGGCCAAUUCUACAAAAAUAGUUGACAAAUUGGCUGAGUUUUAGUCAAUCCAUUUUUUAAAGUCACCUCCUGGCUUUUGGAUCAACCAUGCAGUCAGUCCAAUUCAGUUUCAGAAGGAGGAAACAGAUUGAUUGUUUUUAAACCUAUAUUU
Molecule: long non-coding RNA, 1219 nt
Organism: Bos taurus (domestic cattle)
Lineage: Eukaryota; Metazoa; Chordata; Mammalia; Artiodactyla; Bovidae
Source: Ensembl